CCGAGUCUACAACUCCCAAACCCCUGUGAACAUACCUAUACUGUUGCCUCGGCGGAUCAGCCCGCGCCCCGUAAAAAGGGACGGCCCGCCGCAGGAACCCUAAACUCUGUUUUUAGUGGAACUUCUGAGUAUAAACAAACAAAUAAAUCA
This 150-nucleotide unclassified non-coding RNA is filed under the name soil metagenome. RNAcentral describes it as "partial internal transcribed spacer 1". The record is from RNAcentral.